GACGAACGCUGGCGGCGUGCUUAACACAUGCAAGUCGAACGGAAAGGCCCUGCUUUUGUGGGGUGCUCGAGUGGCGAACGGGUGAGUAACACGUGAGUAACCUGCCCUUGACUUUGGGAUAACUUCAGGAAACUGGGGCUAAUACCGGAUAGGAGCUCCUGCUGCAUGGUGGGGGUUGGAAAGUUUCGGCGGUUGGGGAUGGACUCGCGGCUUAUCAGCUUGUUGGUGGGGUAGUGGCUUACCAAGGCUUUGACGGGUAGCCGGCCUGAGAGGGUGACCGGCCACAUUGGGACUGAGAUACGGCCCAGACUCCUACGGGAGGCAGCAGUGGGGAAUAUUGCACAAUGGGCGGAAGCCUGAUGCAGCAACGCCGCGUGCGGGAUGACGGCCUUCGGGUUGUAAACCGCUUUCGCCUGUGACGAAGCGUGAGUGACGGUAAUGGGUAAAGAAGCACCGGCUAACUACGUGCCAGCAGCCGCGGUGAUACGUAGGGUGCGAGCGUUGUCCGGAUUUAUUGGGCGUAAAGGGCUCGUAGGUGGUUGAUCGCGUCGGAAGUGUAAUCUUGGGGCUUAACCCUGAGCGUGCUUUCGAUACGGGUUGACUUGAGGAAGGUAGGGGAGAAUGGAAUUCCUGGUGGAGCGGUGGAAUGCGCAGAUAUCAGGAGGAACACCAGUGGCGAAGGCGGUUCUCUGGGCCUUUCCUGACGCUGAGGAGCGAAAGCGUGGGGAGCGAACAGGCUUAGAUACCCUGGUAGUCCACGCUGUAAACGGUGGGUACUAGGUGUGGGGUCCAUUCCACGGGUUCCGUGCCGUAGCUAACGCUUUAAGUACCCCGCCUGGGGAGUACGGCCGCAAGGCUAAAACUCAAAGGAAUUGACGGGGCCCCGCACAAGCGGCGGAGCAUGCGGAUUAAUUCGAUGCAACGCGUAGAACCUUACCUGGGUUUGACAUGGAUCGGGAGUGCUCAGAGAUGGGUGUGCCUCUUUUGGGGUCGGUUCACAGGUGGUGCAUGGCUGUCGUCAGCUCGUGUCGUGAGAUGUUGGGUUAAGUCCCGCAACGAGCGCAACCCUUGUUCACUGUUGCCAGCACGUUAUGGUGGGGACUCAGUGGAGACCGCCGAGGUCAACUCGGAGGAAGGUGGGGAUGACGUCAAGUCAUCAUGCCCCUUAUGUCCAGGGCUUCACGCAUGCUACAAUGGCUGGUACAGAGAGUGGCGAGCCUGUGAGGGUGAGCGAAUCUCGGAAAGCCGGUCUCAGUUCGGAUUGGGGUCUGCAACUCGACCUCAUGAAGUCGGAGUCGCUAGUAAUCGCAGAUCAGCAACGCUGCGGUGAAUACGUUCCCGGGGCU
Molecule: ribosomal RNA, 1346 nt
Filed under: uncultured bacterium
Lineage: Bacteria
Description: partial 16S ribosomal RNA
Rfam family: Bacterial small subunit ribosomal RNA
Source: RNAcentral